This 742-nucleotide ribosomal RNA is filed under the name Staphylococcus aureus. Its description in RNAcentral is "bacterial SSU rRNA". It matches the Rfam family "Bacterial small subunit ribosomal RNA", at positions 217 to 950 of the family's 1533-position model. Lineage: Bacteria; Bacillati; Bacillota; Bacilli; Caryophanales; Staphylococcaceae. The record is from RNAcentral.
ACUUAUAGAUGGAUCCGCGCUGCAUUAGCUAGUUGGUAAGGUAACGGCUUACCAAGGCAACGAUGCAUAGCCGACCUGAGAGGGUGAUCGGCCACACUGGAACUGAGACACGGUCCAGACUCCUACGGGAGGCAGCAGUAGGGAAUCUUCCGCAAUGGGCGAAAGCCUGACGGAGCAACGCCGCGUGAGUGAUGAAGGUCUUCGGAUCGUAAAACUCUGUUAUUAGGGAAGAACAUAUGUGUAAGUAACUGUGCACAUCUUGACGGUACCUAAUCAGAAAGCCACGGCUAACUACGUGCCAGCAGCCGCGGUAAUACGUAGGUGGCAAGCGUUAUCCGGAAUUAUUGGGCGUAAAGCGCGCGUAGGCGGUUUUUUAAGUCUGAUGUGAAAGCCCACGGCUCAACCGUGGAGGGUCAUUGGAAACUGGAAAACUUGAGUGCAGAAGAGGAAAGUGGAAUUCCAUGUGUAGCGGUGAAAUGCGCAGAGAUAUGGAGGAACACCAGUGGCGAAGGCGACUUUCUGGUCUGUAACUGACGCUGAUGUGCGAAAGCGUGGGGAUCAAACAGGAUUAGAUACCCUGGUAGUCCACGCCGUAAACGAUGAGUGCUAAGUGUUAGGGGGUUUCCGCCCCUUAGUGCUGCAGCUAACGCAUUAAGCACUCCGCCUGGGGAGUACGACCGCAAGGUUGAAACUCAAAGGAAUUGACGGGGACCCGCACAAGCGGUGGAGCAUGUGGUUUAAU